RNAcentral lists this microRNA precursor (88 nucleotides) under Spodoptera frugiperda (fall armyworm). RNAcentral describes it as "microRNA sfr-mir-10483 precursor (sfr-mir-10483-2)". The record is from miRBase by way of RNAcentral. Lineage: Eukaryota; Metazoa; Arthropoda; Insecta; Lepidoptera; Noctuidae.
AGUGUGUACUUACGUCACCUGUAAUUGUUCGUUCCCUUUUGUAAAUAAUUAAGGGGCCGAACAAUUCCAGACGAUGUUUGAACAGACU